Molecule: RNA transcript, 1193 nt
Organism: Olea europaea var. sylvestris
Lineage: Eukaryota; Viridiplantae; Streptophyta; Magnoliopsida; Lamiales; Oleaceae
Gene name: transcription factor bHLH92
Exons: 4
Source: RefSeq, a predicted model, not a curated record
AUAUAAUGAAAGAGAAACACAACUGUCUCUUAAGACAGUUAGAACAACAGCGUAUACAAGGUUACAAACCAAAAUAAGCCAUGGAUGAGUUCUUUCAAUUAAACAACUUUUGGAAUAUGGAAUGGCCUAAUGAGGAUGUUUUGGUGAAUACAAGUGCUUUUGUUAGUUACAUAAAACAACCCAUUGGAGAGCUUGCAUCAAAGAGCCAUGGCAAUGAGUCGAAUCAUAGGAACUUAAACAAGAGGAUGAUCGAGUUCUUGAAGACGACUUCUACCAGGAUGAGAGUCGAGACAACUAUUGAAACCGAGAACGAAAGAAACCAUAAGCAUAUGAUCAGUGAGAGGAUGAGAAGAGAGAAGCACAAGCAAAGUUACUUAGCAUUGCAUAAACUGUUACCCGUUGGAACUAAGAGUGAUAAGAACUCAAUACUCCACAAGGCAACCAAGAAUAUAGAGGACUUGCAGAAUUACAAGGAGCAGUUGGAGAGGAGAAACAGUGAACUGGAGAUGGUUUUGGCUGGAAAAGUUGAUGAAAAUAAGCUAGAAAAGGCACUAAUUAAGUUAAAGGUGGCAUAUCCUGCAUCAGGAAUAGAUUCUAUGUUGGAGGUUCUUAAAUGUUUAGAAAAUACUGGAUCCAAAUUAAGAGCCAUUCAAUCAAAUUUUUCACAACAUGAAUAUUCUGCAUCAUUGGAGAUUGAAACCAAGAUAAGAGCAGCAGACGUAGAGAAGGCAGUACAAAGAACUUUAUCUGAAGUUGAAGGAAAAUUUCAGUCUCCGUUCCAAGGAAAAGGACGCUGAUUUGGGUGCCAUUCUUGACCACUCGAUUUGUCAAUGCGAAGAAAAAUAUUAAGAUGUCCUAUGUCAGCUAGCUGUCAGCUAAGAAUAAUAUAAUGCAAGCACUUUCAAGGCGAGGAAGUGACAUCCCAUCAUCUCUUUGACAAAUAUCUCCAAGGCAGCAAAGUAACAUAUCAUCGCCUCAUUGGCCACUAACUUUCGAAGCCUUAGGAACGUGGUCUAACGUCUUAUAGACUAAGACCUUUGAUGUAAAUUAAGUUGGGAAAAAAUUAUUUCUCAAGCCUUAAGUUUAGGAGAAUUUAAUUUUAAGAGAACAAGUUUACAUUUUCAAAUCAGGUGGUAAUUAAAUUCGCAUUUCUAUUCUAGGCAGGAAUUCAAAUUAAAGGAUUAUAACAUUCA